Molecule: ribosomal RNA, 497 nt
Filed under: uncultured bacterium
Lineage: Bacteria
Description: partial 16S ribosomal RNA
Rfam family: Bacterial small subunit ribosomal RNA
Source: RNAcentral
GAUGAACGCUGGCGGCGUGCCUAAUACAUGCAAGUCGAGCGAACGGACGAGAAGCUUGCUUCUCUGAUGUUAGCGGCGGACGGGUGAGUAACACGUGGAUAACCUACCUAUAAGACUGGGAUAACUUCGGGAAACCGGAGCUAAUACCGGAUAAUAUUUUGAACCGCAUGGUUCAAAAGUGAAAGACGGUCUUGCUGUCACUUAUAGAUGGAUCCGCGCUGCAUUAGCUAGUUGGUAAGGUAAUGGCUUACCAAGGCAACGAUGCAUAGCCGACCUGAGAGGGUGAUCGGCCACACUGGAACUGAGCCACGGUCCAGACUCCUACGGGAGGCAGCAGUAGGGAAUCUUCCGCAAUGGGCGAAAGCCUGACGGAGCAACGCCGCGUGAGUGAUGAAGGUCUUCGGAUCGUAAAACUCUGUUAUUAGGGAAGAACAUAUGUGUAAGUAACUGUGCACAUCUUGACGGUACCUAAUCAGAAAGCCACGGCUAACUACGUG